Molecule: non-coding RNA, 69 nt
Organism: Podarcis lilfordi (Lilford's wall lizard)
Lineage: Eukaryota; Metazoa; Chordata; Lepidosauria; Squamata; Lacertidae
Source: the annotation of a GenBank genome assembly
GAAUAGCUCAGUAGGUAGAGCAUGAGACUCUUAAUCUCAGAGUUGUGAGUUCGAGUCCCAUGUUAGACG